CUACGGGACGCUCCAGUGGGGAAUAUUGCACAAUGGGCGCAAGCCUGAUGCAGCCAUGCCGCGUGUAUGAAGAAGGCCUUCGGGUUGUAAAGUACUUUCAGCGGGGAGGAAGGGAGUAAAGUUAAUACCUUUGCUCAUUGACGUUACCCGCAGAAGAAGCACCGGCUAACUCCGUGCCAGCAGCCGCGGUAAUACGGAGGGUGCAAGCGUUAGUCGGAAUUACUGGGCGUAAAGCGCACGCAGGCGGUUUGUUAAGUCAGAUGUGAAAUCCCCGGGCUCAACCUGGGAACUGCAUCUGAUACUGGCAAGCUUGAGUCUCGUAGAGGGGGGUAGAAUUCCAGGUGUAGCGGUGAAAUGCGUAGAGAUCUGGAGGAAGACCGGUGGCGAAGGCGGCCCCCUGGACGAAGACUGACGCUCAGGUGCGAAAGCGUGGGGAGCAAACAGGAUUAGAUACCCCCGUAGUC
Molecule: ribosomal RNA, 464 nt
Filed under: uncultured bacterium
Lineage: Bacteria
Description: partial 16S ribosomal RNA
Rfam family: Bacterial small subunit ribosomal RNA
Source: RNAcentral